RNAcentral lists this transfer RNA (24 nucleotides) under Dugong dugon (dugong). RNAcentral describes it as "partial tRNA-Pro". Lineage: Eukaryota; Metazoa; Chordata; Mammalia; Sirenia; Dugongidae. The record is from RNAcentral.
CAGGGAGUAGUUUAAGUAGAAUUU